GACGAACCGAGCGAACGUUGUUCGGAAUAACUGGGCUUAAAGGGCGCGUAGGCGGCAUGCCAAGCGUGUGGUGAAAGCCCGGGGCUCAACCCCGGGUCGGCCGUGCGGACUGGCGUGCUCGAGCACUGUAGGGGCGGGUGGAAUUCCGGGUGUAGCGGUGGAAUGCGUAGAGAUCCGGAAGAACACCGGUGGCGAAGGCGGCCCGCUGGGCAGGAAGGCUCGCAAGAGCCGGCUGACGCUGAGGCGCGACAGCGUGGGGAGCAAACAGG
This 269-nucleotide ribosomal RNA is filed under the name uncultured bacterium. RNAcentral describes it as "partial 16S ribosomal RNA". It matches the Rfam family "Bacterial small subunit ribosomal RNA", at positions 524 to 776 of the family's 1533-position model. The record is from RNAcentral.